UGUUAACUCCUCCUGUCAAAAUAGUAGUGACUACACCUGGCAGAUGGCGGUGUUGCAGCGGUUAAAGAUUUUGUAAAAUGGGUUGCAUAUGAAAAACAGCAUUACGAUCAUAAAAAAUAUUAUCAUUAUUUUUAUUUGCACUGCAGUGAUUAGGGUUGUCUACGUUCAAAAAAUUUUUUUAUUAAAAUUGGUAACGAUAAUAAUACUUAUUUGUAAUGCUUUUCAUUGGAGAAGAAAUCGGGAAAUACCACGUGUAAACGUUCAAAUGUCGCGUCCGUGACCGCGAAGCGCGUAAAGAGAAAAAUAGAAAUUGUCUGUAGUUAUCAAUGAGAGUAUUUGAAAAAUAUGAAAAUGUAAAGUUGGUUGUUAUCAUUUGUCAUUCAUAAGAAGAAAGCAGGAAAGAAUUUUUGAAAAAGAUUUCACAGUCACCUAUCAUCGCCGCUCCCCUACGACCCUCUCUUUUAGUUGUCUUGCCACAAUUUCGGAUUUAACCGUCACCGAUAAUUUUCGCCACUCUACGAGCAUCCCUUUAACUUGUCCUGUCACAGUUUUUGGUAAGUUUUCCAAAAAAGGUUGACUACACUUCAAUUUUCAUUCAUACUUACUUGUCGACCGUAUUCGG
Agrilus planipennis (emerald ash borer) is the source of this 622-nucleotide long non-coding RNA. RefSeq lists it as uncharacterized. Lineage: Eukaryota; Metazoa; Arthropoda; Insecta; Coleoptera; Buprestidae. The record is from RefSeq and is a predicted model, not a curated record. The transcript has 3 exons.